RNAcentral lists this long non-coding RNA (278 nucleotides) under Homo sapiens (human). RNAcentral describes it as "HSALNT0067638". The record is from RNAcentral. Lineage: Eukaryota; Metazoa; Chordata; Mammalia; Primates; Hominidae.
GAAAAAAGGAUAAAAGAAAUGGAAAGAUAUUCCAUGUUCAUGGAUUGGAAGAAUCAAUAUUGUUAAAAUGUACAUUACUACCCAAAGCAAUCCACAGAUUCAAUGCACUCCCUAUCAAAAUACCAAUGACAUUCUUCACAGCAAUAGAAAAACAAUCCUAAAAUUUAUAUGGAACCACAAAAGACCCAGAAUAGCCAAAGCUAUCCUGAGUAAAAAUAAACUGGAAGAAUCACAUUACCUGAUUUGAAAUUAUACUAUAGAGCUAUAGUAACCAAAAC